This 306-nucleotide ribosomal RNA is filed under the name uncultured bacterium. RNAcentral describes it as "bacterial SSU rRNA". It matches the Rfam family "Bacterial small subunit ribosomal RNA", at positions 28 to 334 of the family's 1533-position model. The record is from RNAcentral.
GACGAACGCUGGCGGCGUGCCUAACACAUGCAAGUCGAACGGGGUAAUUACUUCGGUGAUUACUUAGUGGCGAACGGGUGAGUAACGCGUGAGAAACCUGCCUUUCAGUGGGGGACAACAGUUGGAAACGACUGCUAAUACCGCAUAAUGUUAUUUGAGGGCAUCCUCGAAUAACCAAAGCUUAAUGUGCUGAAAGAUGGUCUCGCGUCUGAUUAGCUAGAUGGCGGGGUAACGGCCCACCAUGGCGACGAUCAGUAGCCGGUCUGAGAGGAUGAACGGCCACAUUGGGACUGAGAUACGGCCCAG